This 237-nucleotide unclassified non-coding RNA is filed under the name uncultured Gaiellales bacterium. RNAcentral's name for it is "contains 16S-23S intergenic spacer region". The record is from RNAcentral. Lineage: Bacteria; Bacillati; Actinomycetota; Thermoleophilia; Gaiellales.
UCCGAUUUGUCACCGUGUCUCCACGGCUUUUCCCUACAUGUCAAGCCCCGGUAAGGUUCUUCGCGUCGCGUCGAAUUAAGCAACAUGCUCCGCCGCUUGUGCGGGCCCCCGUCAAUUCCUUUGAGUUUUAGCCUUGCGGCCGUACUCCCCAGGCGGGGCGCUUAAUGCGUUAGCUGCGGCACGGAAGGAGUCGAUGACCUCCCACACCUAGCGCCCAUCGUUUACGGCGUGGACUAC